Non-coding RNA from Pelobates cultripes (western spadefoot toad), 233 nucleotides. Lineage: Eukaryota; Metazoa; Chordata; Amphibia; Anura; Pelobatidae. The record is from the annotation of a GenBank genome assembly.
CGUGGAUAUGACAGGGGCCAAUCAAAUUAAAUGCUAGGGUAUUUAUACUUACCUCUCCCUUAACUCCCUGUUUUCUGUUUCAGUUCCCUUUAGUGCUUGUGUUGUUCAGUUGUGAUUUUUCGUACUUGACCUUGGCUUUGUAUCUGACUCCGUUUAUCUCUUUAUCCCUGUUUUGUCUUGUUUGUCGGCUUACUGAUUACUGUGUACCAGACCUCGGCUAGUUCUUGUUUUCG